Molecule: ribosomal RNA, 311 nt
Filed under: uncultured Desulfocapsa sp.
Lineage: Bacteria; Pseudomonadati; Thermodesulfobacteriota; Desulfobulbia; Desulfobulbales; Desulfocapsaceae
Description: bacterial SSU rRNA
Rfam family: Bacterial small subunit ribosomal RNA
Source: RNAcentral
GGGUUAAGUCCCGUAACGAGCGCAACCCUUGUCCUUAGUUACCAGCACGUUAAGGUGGGCGACUCUAAGGAGACUGCCGGUGGACAAACCGGAAGGAAGGUGGGGAGUGACGUCAAGUCAUCAUGGCCCUUACGGCCUGGGCGUACACACGUGCUACAAUGGCCGGUACAAAGGGCAGCCACUUAGCGAUAAGGAGCCAAUCCCGUAAAGCCGGUCUCAGUCCGGAUUGGAGUCUGCAACUCGACUCCAUGAAGUUGGAAUCGCUAGUAAUCGCAGAUCAGCACGCUGCGGUGAAUACGUUCCCGGGCCUU